This 526-nucleotide ribosomal RNA is filed under the name uncultured eukaryote. RNAcentral's name for it is "eukaryotic LSU rRNA". It matches the Rfam family "Eukaryotic large subunit ribosomal RNA", at positions 670 to 1185 of the family's 3401-position model. The record is from RNAcentral.
GGAGUCUAACAAAUACGCGAUUAUGUUGGUGUUUGUAAACCAUGCAUGAGCAAUGAAAGUAAGCGGUGCCAAUCGCAAGAUGCAGCAUCGGCCGAUCGUGCGCCUCUGGCAAAACGUGUUGGCUACGAGCGUAUCUGUUAGGACCCGAAAGAUGGUGAACUACGCUUGGGUAGGAUGAAGCCGGAAGAAAUUCCUGUUGGAGGUCCGAAACGGUACUGACGUGCAAAUCGUUCGUCAAACUUGAGUGUAGGGGCGAAAGACUAAUCGAACCAUCUAGUAGCUGGUUCCCUCCGAAGUUUCUCUCAGGAUAGCAAAGACAGUUAAAAGCAGUUUUAUUUGAGGUAAAGAAUAAAUGAUUAGAAGCAUCUGGGAUUUAUUUGUGAUCUCGACUUAGUUCUCAAACUCUAAAUAUUGUAAUAGCUCGGUAUUUCUUAAGUGAAGAUCGAGGCAGAAUGCUUGUCUUUAGUGGGCCAUUUUUUGGUAAGCAGAACUGGCGAUGAGGGAUGAACCUAACUCUGAGUUAAGG